AAAUUGACGGGGACCCGCACAAGCGGUGGAUGAUGUGAUUUAAUUCGAUGCAACGCGAAAACCUUACCUACCCUUGACAUGUCAAGAAUUUUGCAGAGAUGUGAAAGUGCUCGAAAGAGAACUUGAACACAGGUGCUGCAUGGCCGUCGUCAGCUCGUGUCGUGAGAUGUUGGGUUAAGUCCCGCAACGAGCGCAACCCUUGUCAUUAGUUGCUACCGCAAGGAGCACUCUAAUGAGACUGCCGGUGACAAACCGGAGGAAGGUGGGGAUGACGUCAGGUCCUCAUGGCCCUUAUGGGUAGGGCUACACACGUCAUACAAUGGCCGGUACAGAGGGCUGCCAACCCGCGAGGGGGAGCCAAUCCCAGAAAACCGGUCGUAGUCCGGAUCGUAGUCUGCAACUCGACUGCGUGAAGUCGGAAUCGCUAGUAAUCGCGGAUCAGCAUGCUGCGGUGAAUACGUUCCCGGGCCUU
Molecule: ribosomal RNA, 472 nt
Filed under: uncultured Aquabacterium sp.
Lineage: Bacteria; Pseudomonadati; Pseudomonadota; Betaproteobacteria; Burkholderiales; Sphaerotilaceae
Description: bacterial SSU rRNA
Rfam family: Bacterial small subunit ribosomal RNA
Source: RNAcentral